AAUAAAAUUUAUUAAGGCACACCUCAGAUAUAGAUCUUUGAGCGGCCUAAGCUAAAAAAUGCAAUCAAAGUUUUAUCCCUAUAAAGCUUCAAAGGGUCUUUUUGUCCUUUAGUUAGAUGUAUUACUUAGACAGCAUAUUAUUUGUACUGAAAUGUGAUAUCCCA
RNAcentral lists this ribosomal RNA (164 nucleotides) under Symbiodinium sp. JSC FA clade D. Its description in RNAcentral is "partial large subunit ribosomal RNA". Lineage: Eukaryota; Dinophyceae; Suessiales; Symbiodiniaceae. The record is from RNAcentral.